UCGGCCCCGGUUCACGCCCCGCAAGCCCGCGGCAGCGACCCGGCGCC
This 47-nucleotide non-coding RNA is filed under the name Streptomyces sp. LaPpAH-108. Its description in RNAcentral is "L31-Actinobacteria ribosomal protein leader". It matches the Rfam family "L31-Actinobacteria ribosomal protein leader". The record is from RNAcentral. Lineage: Bacteria; Bacillati; Actinomycetota; Actinomycetes; Kitasatosporales; Streptomycetaceae.